ACCAAGGUUCUUUUAAGAACCAUCUUUUCAUCUUAUUCUCUCUGU
Non-coding RNA from Cricetulus griseus (Chinese hamster), 45 nucleotides. Lineage: Eukaryota; Metazoa; Chordata; Mammalia; Rodentia; Cricetidae. The record is from Rfam.